RNAcentral lists this ribosomal RNA (244 nucleotides) under uncultured bacterium. RNAcentral's name for it is "partial 16S ribosomal RNA". It matches the Rfam family "Bacterial small subunit ribosomal RNA", at positions 524 to 767 of the family's 1533-position model. The record is from RNAcentral.
UACGUAGGUGGCAAGCGUUGUCCGGAUUUACUGGGCGUAAAGAGCGCGCAGGCGGUCGACCAAGUCGCGUGUGAAAGCCCCCAGCUCAACUGGGGAAGUGCCUUGGAUACUGUGCAGCUCGAGCGAGGUAGGGGUCGUGGGAACUUCCGGUGGAGCGGUGAAAUGCGUUGAUAUCGGAAGGAACGCCGGUGGCGAAAGCGCACGACUGGACCUUUUCUGACGCUGAGGCGCGAAAGCCAGGGGA